RNAcentral lists this ribosomal RNA (440 nucleotides) under uncultured bacterium. Its description in RNAcentral is "partial 16S ribosomal RNA". It matches the Rfam family "Bacterial small subunit ribosomal RNA", at positions 338 to 795 of the family's 1533-position model. The record is from RNAcentral.
CCUACGGGAGGCAGCAGUGAGGGAUAUUGGUCAAUGGGCGAGAGCCUGAACCAGCCAAGUCGCGUGAGGGAGUACUGCCCUAUGGGUUGUAAACCACUGUCCCCAGGGACGAAGAUGACGGUACCUGGGGAGGAAGCUCCGGCUAACUACGUGCCAGCAGCCGCGGUAAUACGUAGGGAGCAAGCGUUGUCCGGAAUUACGGGGUGUAAGGGGAGCGUAGGCGGGAUGGCAAGUUGGGUGUUAAAUCUACCGGCUCAACUGGUAGUCGCACUCAAAACUGCUAUUCUUGAGUGAAGUAGAGGCAGGCGGAAUUCCUAGUGUAGCGGUGAAAUGCGUAGAUAUUAGGAGGAACACCAGUGGCGAAGGCGGCCUGCUGGGCUUUUACUGACGCUGAGGCUCGAAAGUGUGGGGAGCAAACAGGAUUAGAUACCCGGGUAGUC